Molecule: non-coding RNA, 72 nt
Organism: Pangasius djambal
Lineage: Eukaryota; Metazoa; Chordata; Actinopteri; Siluriformes; Pangasiidae
Source: the annotation of a GenBank genome assembly
UUCCUGGAGAACUAGUGGUUAGGCCUUGGCGCUCUCGCCAGCAUGGCCCGGGUUCAAUUCCCGGCCAGGGAA